AUACGGAGGGGGCUAGCGUUGUUCGGAAUUACUGGGCGUAAAGCGCGCGUAGGCGGAUUGAUCAGUCAGGGGUGAAAUCCCGAGGCUUAACCUCGGAACUGCCUUUGAUACUGUCAGUCUUGAGUUCGAGAGAGGUGAGUGGAAUUCCUAGUGUAGAGGUGAAAUUCGUAGAUAUUAGGAAGAACACCAGUGGCGAAGGCGGCUCACUGGCUCGAUACUGACGCUGAGGUGCGAAAGCGUGGGGAGCAAACAGGAUUAGAUACCCUAGUAGUCC
RNAcentral lists this ribosomal RNA (274 nucleotides) under uncultured bacterium. RNAcentral's name for it is "partial 16S ribosomal RNA". It matches the Rfam family "Bacterial small subunit ribosomal RNA", at positions 523 to 796 of the family's 1533-position model. The record is from RNAcentral.